RNAcentral lists this ribosomal RNA (407 nucleotides) under Bacillota bacterium. Its description in RNAcentral is "Firmicutes bacterium partial 16S ribosomal RNA". It matches the Rfam family "Bacterial small subunit ribosomal RNA", at positions 355 to 776 of the family's 1533-position model. The record is from RNAcentral. Lineage: Bacteria; Bacillati; Bacillota.
UAGGGAAUAUUGCACAAUGGAGGAAACUCUGAUGCAGCGACGCCGCGUGAGUGAUGAAGGCCUUCGGGUCGUAAAGCUCUGUCGCAGGGGAAUAACACAAUGAAUGUACCCUGUAAGAAAGGAUCGGCUAACUUCGUGCCAGCAGCCGCGGUAAGACGAGGGAUCCUAGCGUUGUUCGGAAUUAUUGGGCGUAAAGCGGAUGUAGGUGGCUUUGUAAGUCAGAUGUGAAAGCCCAGGGCUCAACCCUGGAAGUGCAUUUGAUACUGCGAAGCUUGAGUGUCGGAGAGGUUACUAGAAUUGUUGGUGUAGUGGUAAAAUACGUAGAUAUCAACAGGAAUACCGGAGGCGAAGGCGGGUAACUGGCCGAACACUGACACUGAGAUCCGAAAGCGUGGGGAUCAAACAGG